RNAcentral lists this ribosomal RNA (152 nucleotides) under uncultured Glaciecola sp. RNAcentral describes it as "partial 16S ribosomal RNA". It matches the Rfam family "Bacterial small subunit ribosomal RNA", at positions 381 to 525 of the family's 1533-position model. The record is from RNAcentral. Lineage: Bacteria; Pseudomonadati; Pseudomonadota; Gammaproteobacteria; Alteromonadales; Alteromonadaceae.
CCCUGAUGCAGCCAUGCCGCGUGUGUGAAGAAGGCCUUCGGGUUGUAAAGCACUUUCAGUUGUGAGGAAAGUUUGUCGGUUAAUACCCGAUAGAUGUGACGUUAGCAACAGAAGAAGGACCGGCUAACUCCGUGCCAGCAGCCGCGGUAAUA